UGCGGGUAUAGUUCAAUGGUAGAACGCUAGCUUCCCAAGCUAGAGAUGAGGGUUCGAUUCACUCUAUCCGCU
Molecule: transfer RNA, 72 nt
Filed under: Lactobacillus delbrueckii subsp. bulgaricus
Lineage: Bacteria; Bacillati; Bacillota; Bacilli; Lactobacillales; Lactobacillaceae
Description: tRNA-Gly
Rfam family: tRNA
About the family: Transfer RNA (tRNA) molecules are approximately 80 nucleotides in length.
Source: RNAcentral